AGGUGUAUGUAUGCAUCCCCCAGGUCCCAAGGUGAUCAAGAUUUCAACAAUUUCUUGCUCACUUUGCUCACACAGUGUGUGUGUCCAUAUAUGUGUGAGUCCAUGUGUGUGUGUGUGUGUGUGUGUGU
Strongylocentrotus purpuratus (purple sea urchin) is the source of this 128-nucleotide long non-coding RNA. RefSeq lists it as uncharacterized. The record is from RefSeq and is a predicted model, not a curated record. The transcript has 3 exons. NCBI's taxonomy places the organism in Eukaryota, Metazoa, Echinodermata, Echinoidea, Camarodonta, Strongylocentrotidae.